GACGAACGCUGGCGGCGUGCCUAAUACAUGCAAGUAGAACGCUGAAGGAGGAGCUUGCUCUUCUGGAUGAGUUGCGAACGGGUGAGUAACGCGUAGGUAACCUGCCUGGUAGCGGGGGAUAACUAUUGGAAACGAUAGCUAAUACCGCAUAACAGUAGAUGUUGCAUGACAUUUACUUAAAAGGUGCAAUUGCAUCACUACCAGAUGGACCUGCGUUGUAUUAGCUAGUUGGUGGGGUAACGGCUCACCAAGGCGACGAUACAUAGCCGACCUGAGAGGGUGAUCGGCCACACUGGGACUGAGACACGGCCCAGACUCCUACGGGAGGCAGCAGUAGGGAAUCUUCGGCAAUAGACGGAAGUCUGACCGAGCAACGCCGCGUGAGUGAAGAAGGUUUUCGGAUCGUAAAGCUCUGUUGUAAGAGAAGAACGAGUGUGAGAGUGGAAAGUUCACACUGUGACGGUAUCUUACCAGAAAGGGACGGCUAGCUACGUG
RNAcentral lists this ribosomal RNA (495 nucleotides) under uncultured bacterium. RNAcentral's name for it is "partial 16S ribosomal RNA". It matches the Rfam family "Bacterial small subunit ribosomal RNA", at positions 28 to 507 of the family's 1533-position model. The record is from RNAcentral.